This 73-nucleotide transfer RNA is filed under the name Bos taurus (domestic cattle). It matches the Rfam family "tRNA". From Rfam's summary of the family: Transfer RNA (tRNA) molecules are approximately 80 nucleotides in length. Their secondary structure includes four short double-helical elements and three loops (D, anti-codon, and T loops). Further hydrogen bonds mediate the characteristic L-shaped molecular structure. tRNAs have two regions of fundamental functional importance: the anti-codon, which is responsible for specific mRNA codon recognition, and the 3' end, to which the tRNAs corresponding amino acid is attached (by aminoacyl-tRNA synthetases). tRNAs cope with the degeneracy of the genetic code in two manners: having more than one tRNA (with a specific anti-codon) for a particular amino acid; and 'wobble' base-pairing, i.e. permitting non-standard base-pairing at the 3rd anti-codon position. The record is from Rfam by way of RNAcentral. RNAcentral also lists the same sequence under 2 other names. Lineage: Eukaryota; Metazoa; Chordata; Mammalia; Artiodactyla; Bovidae.
UCCCUGGCAGUCCAGAGGUUUAGACCUGGAACUUUCACUGCCAAGGGCCCAGGUUCAAUCCCUGGUCAGGGAA